GCGCCUAAUCGCGUAAGGUGUAAGAAGGGCCCUUCCACCACUUGCAGGUUAUGGGGAACCUUUUCUCAUGCCUUGAUAUCGGUUCGGUGCGAGAUAAUAAAGGCGACAACAACAACUACGGACAUGGGUCGCAAGAGAUUACGAUACCCUCAUCUUCUGAAUCGCAAACAAGAUCCAGGAAUAAUAGCGCUUCAAACAACUAUAAUUAGCGAGGCGCUGAUGUAGUUUUACUGUUUCAAGCAACGUAUGAAGGAUGAUGCUGACUUAUCAGUGAAGGGAGUGCAGUGUUGUUAUUGUUCCUUCUUUUCUGUCUUAGCGUGUGGUUUCAAUAUAAACGAUCUUUUAACUUUUUUCUUGUGGAAGGGAGUGAAGAUAGUGUAUGCUUUCCUUCUUUUGUGUUCGUGGUUUCAAUUAUAAGUGUUGGGUUCUGUUUGUACUUAUUUUAUAUAUAUUUGAGUAUGCACACUGUUCGUAUCUUGGGAUAAAAUCACUUUGUAGA
Vigna unguiculata (cowpea) is the source of this 499-nucleotide long non-coding RNA. The record is from RefSeq and is a predicted model, not a curated record. Lineage: Eukaryota; Viridiplantae; Streptophyta; Magnoliopsida; Fabales; Fabaceae.